Molecule: non-coding RNA, 211 nt
Organism: Xenorhabdus beddingii
Lineage: Bacteria; Pseudomonadati; Pseudomonadota; Gammaproteobacteria; Enterobacterales; Morganellaceae
Source: Rfam
GUAGAUACUCAUCCCACUUCUUAUGACAGCAUAUGGCUUCAUAAACCCCAGGAUGAUGUAGAGCUGAUUAUCAGUGCCUAUGGUCCACGUUAUAGAUGAGUAAGCAUCACUGUCUUUUCAUCACAAACCGGACACAACGUUGAGUGAGGCACUAUCCGUCUGUAAACCUGAUUGUAUUUAUGCACCUGUCUUUUUUGAUAGGUGUUUUUUU